RNAcentral lists this ribosomal RNA (408 nucleotides) under Triticum aestivum (bread wheat). RNAcentral's name for it is "partial small subunit ribosomal RNA". The record is from RNAcentral. Lineage: Eukaryota; Viridiplantae; Streptophyta; Magnoliopsida; Poales; Poaceae.
AUGCUCUGCUCCUCCCUCCCCUCCGGCAAGAUCCAGCACGCGGCCUCCCUCUCCUCGAUCCAGAUCGAGACACCCCGCCGCCCCGCCUUCGUCUCCCUCCGUCUCCCACCCGAUGGAGGCCGCGGUGGGGGAAGCGAGUGGUCUCGGCUUCCCCUCCCAUCGCCGCACCACUCGUCCGCUAGCUCCCCACGCAGGCGGAUUCGGAUGGAGGCGGCCGUCGCCGGGCACGACGACUCCAUGGACCGCUCCUCCGCACCCUUCUCCCCCUUCGCCGAGAAGCUGGACUGCGCCGGCGGCGCCGGCUCCCCCACCCCCAAGAAGGCGCCCCGCAAGGUCCCCAAGACGCCCCACAAGGUGCUGGACGCGCCGUCCCUGCAGGACGACUUCUACCUGAACCUCGUCGACUAG